Molecule: ribosomal RNA, 479 nt
Filed under: uncultured bacterium
Lineage: Bacteria
Description: partial 16S ribosomal RNA
Rfam family: Bacterial small subunit ribosomal RNA
Source: RNAcentral
GAUGAACGCUAGCGGGAGGCCUAACACAUGCAAGCCGAGCAGUAGAGUCUCUUCGGAGACUUGAGAGCGGCGCACGGGUGCGGAACACGUGUGCAACCUGCCUUUAUCUGGGGGAUAGCCUUUCGAAGGGAAGAUUAAUACCCCAUAAUAUACUGGAUGGCAUCAUCUGGUAUUGAAAACUCCGGUGGAUAGAGAUGGGCACGCGCAAGAUUAGAUAGUUGGUGAGGUAACGGCUCACCAAGUCAGCGAUCUUUAGGGGGCCUGAGAGGGUGAUCCCCCACACUGGUACUGAGACACGGACCAGACUCCUACGGGAGGCAGCAGUGAGGAAGAUUGGACAAUGGGUGAGAGCCUGAUCCAGCCAUCCCGCGUGAAGGACGACGGCCCUAUGGGUUGUAAACUUCUUUUGUAUAGGGAUAAACCUAGAUACGUGUAUCUAGCUGAAGGUACUAUACGAUUAAGCACCGGCUAACUCCGUG